RNAcentral lists this ribosomal RNA (445 nucleotides) under uncultured bacterium. Its description in RNAcentral is "partial 16S ribosomal RNA". It matches the Rfam family "Bacterial small subunit ribosomal RNA", at positions 354 to 796 of the family's 1533-position model. The record is from RNAcentral.
GUGAGGAAUAUUGGUCAAUGGACGGAAGUCUGAACCAGCCAAGUAGCGUGCAGGAUGACGGCCCUAUGGGUUGUAAACUGCUUUUAUGCGGGGGUAAAGUGAGUGACGUGUCAUUCAUUGCAAGUACCGCAAGAAUAAGGACCGGCUAAUUCCGUGCCAGCAGCCGCGGUAAUACGGAAGGUCCUGGUGUUAUCCGGAUUUAUUGGGUUUAAAGGGAGCGUAGGCCGUCAGGCAAGCGUGUUGUGAAAUGUCGUGGCUCAACCAUGGACUUGCAGCGCGAACUGCCCGACUUGAGUGCGCGGAAAGCAGGCGGAAUUUGUGGUGUAGCGGUGAAAUGCUUAGAUAUCACGAAGAACCCCGAUUGCGAAGGCAGCCUGCUGUAGCGCUACUGACGCUGAAGCUCGAAAGUGCGGGUAUCGAACAGGAUUAGAAACCCCUGUAGUCC